RNAcentral lists this ribosomal RNA (580 nucleotides) under uncultured bacterium. RNAcentral describes it as "bacterial SSU rRNA". It matches the Rfam family "Archaeal small subunit ribosomal RNA", at positions 727 to 1270 of the family's 1478-position model. The record is from RNAcentral.
GCAAUACGAUACCCCUGGUAGUCCUGGCCGGUAAAACGAUGCGGACUUGGUGUUGGGGAUGGCUUCGAGCUGCUCCAGUGCCGAAGGGAAGCUGUUAAGUCCGUCGCCUGGGAAGUACGGUCGCAAGACUGAAACUUAAAGGAAUUGGCGGGGGGAGCACCACAACGCGUGGUAGCCUGCGGUUUAAUUGGGACUCAACCGCCGGGACAUCUCACCAGGGGGCGGACAGCAGGAUGAUGGUCCCAGGGUUGAUGGACCUUGCUUGACAAGCUGAGAGGAGGGUGCAUGGCCGCCGUCAGCUCGUACCCGUGAGGCGUCCUGUUAAGCCAGGCAACGAGCGAGACCCACGCCCUUAGUUACCAGCGGGUUCCUUUUUAGGAUGCCGGGGUCACGACUAAGGGGUACCGGCCGAGUGAUAAACUGGAGGAAGGAGUGGACGGACGGUAGGUCCGGUAUGCCCCCGAAUCCCCUGGGGCUACGACGCGGGGCUACGAAUGGCUAGGGACAAUGGGUUACCGGACACUGAAAGGUGAUGGUAAUCUCCUAACCUAGUNUUAGUUCGUAGUGAGGCUGUACUCCG